GCCUCGGUAGCUCAGGGGAUAGAGCAGGAGCUUUCUAAUCUCUUGGUCGGGGGUUCGAAUCCCUCCCGGGGCA
This 73-nucleotide transfer RNA is filed under the name Kocuria palustris. RNAcentral describes it as "tRNA-Arg". It matches the Rfam family "tRNA". Rfam says of the family: Transfer RNA (tRNA) molecules are approximately 80 nucleotides in length. Their secondary structure includes four short double-helical elements and three loops (D, anti-codon, and T loops). Lineage: Bacteria; Bacillati; Actinomycetota; Actinomycetes; Micrococcales; Micrococcaceae. RNAcentral also lists the same sequence under 1 other name. The record is from RNAcentral.